AGAGGGGGCAAGCGUUGUUCGGAAUUACUGGGCGUAAAGGGCGCGUAGGCGGCCUUCUAAGUCAGACGUGAAAUCCCUCGGCUCAACCGGGGAACUGCGUCUGAGACUGGAAGGCUUGAAUCCGGGAGAGGGAUGUGGAAUUCCAGGUGUAGCGGUGAAAUGCGUAGAUAUCUGGAGGAACACCGGUGGCGAAGGCGGCAUCCUGGACCGGUAUUGACGCUGAGGCGCGAAAGCCAGGGGAGCAAACGGGAUUAGAUACCCCGGUAGUCCUGGCCCUAAACGAUGAAUGCUUGGUGUGGCGGGUAUCGAUCCCUGCCGUGCCGAAGCUAACGCAUUAAGCAUUCCGCCUGGGGAGUACGGUCGCAAGGCUGAA
This 373-nucleotide ribosomal RNA is filed under the name uncultured bacterium. Its description in RNAcentral is "bacterial SSU rRNA". It matches the Rfam family "Bacterial small subunit ribosomal RNA", at positions 527 to 898 of the family's 1533-position model. The record is from RNAcentral.